Molecule: ribosomal RNA, 253 nt
Filed under: uncultured bacterium
Lineage: Bacteria
Description: partial 16S ribosomal RNA
Rfam family: Bacterial small subunit ribosomal RNA
Source: RNAcentral
UACGUAGGGGGCAAGCGUUGUCCGGAUUUAUUGGGCGUAAAGAGCGUGUAGGCGGCCUGAAAGGUCAGCUGUGAAAACUCGAGGCUCAACCUCGAGACGUCGGUUGAAACCAUCUGGCUAGAGUCCGGAAGAGGAGAGUGGAAUUCCCGGUGUAGCGGUGAAAUGCGCAGAUAUCGGGAAGAACACCCGUGGCGAAGGCGGCUCUCUGGGACGGUACUGACGCUGAGACGCGAAAGCGUGGGGAGCGAACGGG